AGCUGUAGAAAGCAGUCAAUUCAAUCACAAUGUCAGAUUUAUGUUGUACAGAAGAGUAUUUAUUAGAAGAGCUUAGUUUUGCCACACCCUUCCUGUGUGAUCUUGGAGAUGUCAUCUUCUCUUGCUGUGUAUGUAUGUGUUGUCAGUCAAGCGCAAGCCUCAGGUUCAAACCUACUCAUCAGUUAAAUUUACAUCAUUGGAUCUCUUGCAGAGUGGACAAUGAGUUCUGGUGUUCUCUGAGGUAUGGUCCUGGCAAUGCUGGUGCUUUGAUGUGUUUUCUUCUCUUUGCUAUGCAGAGAUUGGAGAUGAGUGAGGAAACAGGACUGAACAUGCUGCAUGCAGCUGGGAAGCAGAUAUGCUGACCUUAUUGUGUCAUAAUGCUAACACAAAAUGUUUCUGUUCUAAUAAUGUGCACUUAUGACUGGUUUCACAUGAGCUCCUUCAGUCCCAGGUCAUGGCUGAUGGAGUCCUGAUGGGAAAAGCCUUGGGGCUUGUUGUCUUAUACAUUCUCUUGUCCUGCUGAGGAGAAGAAAGCAGCUUGGUGGGCUCCAUGCAGAUAGUCAAAUUUAACACACCACAUGGCCUUAACACAACACUGUGCCAAAAUGGCCUGAGAUCCUAAGGGGUCUCCACAGUUUCACUUCUGAGAGUGGAAGGUAUUUGCAUAGAGCCUAAAUGGAGGCUGAAUUCAAGCUGCUUGUAAUGAAAAGAAUUACAUCCUCUCUAAAACUUGCAGGUCUCUAUCCCUGGGGCUCAUCUGCUUUGGAACUUACAACAGGAAGAGAGCCAAGUAUUUGGUCAUUAUCAGUGAUUU
This 814-nucleotide long non-coding RNA is filed under the name Gallus gallus (chicken). Its description in RNAcentral is "long non-coding RNA NONGGAT004342". Lineage: Eukaryota; Metazoa; Chordata; Aves; Galliformes; Phasianidae. The record is from RNAcentral.